UACGUAGGGUGCAAGCGUUGUCCGGAAUUAUUGGGCGUAAAGAGCUCGUAGGCGGUUUGUCACGUCGGUUGUGAAAAUCCGAGGCUCAACCUCGGACCUGCAAUCGAUACGGGCAGGCUAGAGUUUGGUAGGGGAGACUGGAAUUCCUGGUGUAGCGGUGAAAUGCGCAGAUAUCAGGAGGAACACCGGUGGCGAAGGCGGGUCUCUGGGCCAAUACUGACGCUGAGGAGCGAAAGCGUGGGGAGCGAACAGG
Molecule: ribosomal RNA, 253 nt
Filed under: uncultured bacterium
Lineage: Bacteria
Description: partial 16S ribosomal RNA
Rfam family: Bacterial small subunit ribosomal RNA
Source: RNAcentral